Molecule: long non-coding RNA, 285 nt
Filed under: Homo sapiens (human)
Lineage: Eukaryota; Metazoa; Chordata; Mammalia; Primates; Hominidae
Description: non-protein coding lnc-EIF2AK3-8:2
Source: RNAcentral
AGUCACCCAGUCUCCAUCCACACUGUCUGCAUCUGUAAGGAGACAGUGUCACCAUCACUUGCCGGGCGAGUCAGAGCAUUGGUAGUAAUUUAGACUGGUAUCAGCAGAAACCAGGGAAGGCCCCUAAGGGCCUGAUCUAUGCUGCAUCCAGUUUGCAAUCUGGGGCUCCUUCGCGGUUCGGUGGCAGUGGAUCUGGGACAGAUUUUACUCUCACCAUCAGAAUCCUGCAGCCUAAAGAUGUUGCAACUUAUUACUGUCAACAGUAUAAAAAUUACCCUAUCACAG